Molecule: ribosomal RNA, 253 nt
Filed under: uncultured bacterium
Lineage: Bacteria
Description: partial 16S ribosomal RNA
Rfam family: Bacterial small subunit ribosomal RNA
Source: RNAcentral
UACAGAGGGUGCGAGCGUUGUUCGGAAUUACUGGGCGUAAAGGGCUCGUAGGCGGCCAACUAAGUCGGACGUGAAAUCCCUCGGCUUAACCGGGGAACUGCGUCCGAUACUGGAUGGCUUGAGUUUGGGAGAGGGAUGCGGAAUUCCAGGUGUAGCGGUGAAAUGCGUAGAUAUCUGGAGGAACACCGGUGGCGAAGGCGGCAUCCUGGACCAACACUGACGCUGAUGAGCGAAAGCCAGGGGAGCAAACGGG